Molecule: ribosomal RNA, 200 nt
Filed under: uncultured bacterium
Lineage: Bacteria
Description: partial 16S ribosomal RNA
Rfam family: Bacterial small subunit ribosomal RNA
Source: RNAcentral
AGAGUUUGAUCCUGGCUCAGAUUGAACGCUGGCGGCGUGCCUAACACAUGCAAGUCGAACGCCCUUCCACCUCUUCGGAGGGGGAGGGAGUGGCGGACGGGUGAGUAACACAUGGGUGACCUGGCCUUUGGUGAGGGAUACCGGCGAGAAAUCGCCGACAAGCCCGCAUGAGGUCUCUCUGGUAGGGCAGAGAGAGCAAA